ACACACACACACACACUUUAGUUAUUUACUUUUUUAUUUUAUGUUUAAGGUCUGGGGGCUGGAGAUGUGGUGGUUCAGUGUUGAAGAGCACUGGGUACUCUUUGACAUGGCCUGGGUUUGUCUCCCAUGGUGGCUCCAAAUCAUGUUAACUCCAGUUCUAGGGGACCCAACCUCCAUAGGCACCAGGCAUGCGUGAGGUACAUACACAAGUAAGUCUUUUUCUGAAAAAUAAAAGUUUAGUUGGGUAUGGCGGCACACACCUUUAAUGCCACCACUCAGGAGGCAGAGGCAGACAGACCUCUAUGAGUUUGAGGCCAGCCGAGGCUACAUAGGGAGUACAUAGGGAGACCAUGUCUCAAAAAGAAGUUUCACGCGUCCUUGACUACAUAGUAAAUUCAAGGCAACCUAACCAAAUAAGACCUUGUCUCAAACACAGAAAAAUAAGCUGUAAUGGGGACUGGAGCUCAACUGAUGGAGGACUUGGCUGGUACACAUGAGAUCUUAGAACCACUGCACAGCUCGGGUGGGCUGCCUUUUCUAGAAGUAUCUGUCCUUUGGUUCCAUGUCUGCACCAUACACUGUUCAUGUCAAAGUCUUCCUGUGCAAGGCUUGGACCUCAAGCUCAGCCUGUCUUCCUGGCACCCUGACUAGGUAAGGCACUCAUCUGAGAGCCUCAUGGGCUCAGUCUUUAGGUGGGGAACAGAUACCAGGACUCCUACCUGAUGGUCUUAAGAGUUCGAGCAGGUGGGACCACCAGAGAUAGGAGCUGAUCCUGGCCUACUCAUGAGCUCUGCACAGGUGCCCAUAAGCAAAAGGGUGGAAUGCUUUGCUGGGGUCCUCUAACCCUCCACCCCAGUGGGUCCAGCAUCCCGGUGGCCCACAAACACCUAUCUUCCACAUU
RNAcentral lists this long non-coding RNA (901 nucleotides) under Mus musculus (house mouse). Its description in RNAcentral is "long non-coding RNA chr8:3457088-3457989". Lineage: Eukaryota; Metazoa; Chordata; Mammalia; Rodentia; Muridae. The record is from RNAcentral.